This 71-nucleotide non-coding RNA is filed under the name Elusimicrobiota bacterium. Its description in RNAcentral is "Elusimicrobia bacterium 45-dG-II sequence". It matches the Rfam family "2dG-II purine riboswitch aptamer". Rfam says of the family: Purine riboswitch variant that recognize 2'-deoxyguanosine Lineage: Bacteria; Pseudomonadati; Elusimicrobiota. The record is from RNAcentral.
AACCCUUGUAAUCUUCGGGAUUGGCUGGAGAGCAUCCAUGGCCCGACCGUAAUCGGGCGACACCCAGGGGA